Molecule: transfer RNA, 58 nt
Filed under: Algoriphagus sp.
Lineage: Bacteria; Pseudomonadati; Bacteroidota; Cytophagia; Cytophagales; Cyclobacteriaceae
Description: tRNA-Asp
Rfam family: tRNA
About the family: Transfer RNA (tRNA) molecules are approximately 80 nucleotides in length.
Source: RNAcentral
UAGUUCAGCUGGUUAGAAUGCCUGCCUGUCACGCAGGAGGUCGCGGGUUCGAGUCCCG